UUAAUUUGGCAGAUUAGUGCAUGAAAUUUAGAAUUUUAUUAUGUAAUUAAUAUUACAAUUAAUAC
This 65-nucleotide transfer RNA is filed under the name Agrilinae sp. 5 ACP-2013. Its description in RNAcentral is "tRNA-Leu". Lineage: Eukaryota; Metazoa; Arthropoda; Insecta; Coleoptera; Buprestidae. The record is from RNAcentral.